GACGAACGCUGGCGGCGUGCUUAACACAUGCAAGUCGAACGGGAAACUUUAUUUCGGUAAAGGAUCUAGUGGCAAACGGGUGAGUAACGCGUAGGCAACCUGCCCUUAGGAUGGGGACAACGGCCCGAAAGGACCGCUAAUACCGAAUGCACUCUAACUUCCGCAUGGAAGAAAGAGGAAAGAUGGUGCAAGCCAUCGCCGAAGGAAGGGCCUGCGUCUGAUUAGCCAGUUGGUGAGGUAACGGCUCACCAAAGCGACGAUCAGUAGCCGGUCUGAGAGGAUGAACGGCCACAAUGGGACUGAGACACGGCCCAUACUCCUACGGGAGGCAGCAGUGGGGAAUCUUCCGCAAUGGGCGAAAGCCUGACGGAGCAACGCCGCGUGAGUGAAGAAGGUCUUCGGAUCGUAAAGCUCUGUUGUUGGGGACGAAAGAAAAGGGGAGGAAAUGCCCUUUUAAGACG
Molecule: ribosomal RNA, 461 nt
Filed under: Veillonellaceae bacterium oral taxon 150
Lineage: Bacteria; Bacillati; Bacillota; Negativicutes; Veillonellales; Veillonellaceae
Description: bacterial SSU rRNA
Rfam family: Bacterial small subunit ribosomal RNA
Source: RNAcentral